This 215-nucleotide long non-coding RNA is filed under the name Elaeis guineensis (African oil palm). RNAcentral's name for it is "long non-coding RNA (EGUI_LNC073169)". The record is from RNAcentral. Lineage: Eukaryota; Viridiplantae; Streptophyta; Magnoliopsida; Arecales; Arecaceae.
GCCCAGCCUAGAUGCGGGUUCAUCUACAACAUGAGGGUUCUGGGGGACUGAGGCAGACGAGCUCCUGGAACCACUAGAGGCGGAGGUGCCAGAAGACAUUUCAAGCAAGAACCCUAAAAAUCCCGAAGAGAUCAGGCGAAAUAAGAGCCGAAAGGUUCGUGGGGGACCUAACAAGAAGAAUGCAGCAGAAGAAAAAUGGAGGAGAAGGGGCACCU